AGACUGGUAAUUUAACGUAUCACACAGAGCCCCAAUAUUAGCCAGGGUGCCCUUUAAAAGGGGUUGGCUAAUAGGCAAUGUGGAAGUCUUAAC
RNAcentral lists this small RNA (93 nucleotides) under Candidatus Pseudothioglobus singularis PS1. RNAcentral describes it as "Candidatus Thioglobus singularis PS1 t44 RNA". It matches the Rfam family "t44 RNA". Rfam says of the family: This family consists of a number of bacterial RNA genes of between 135 and 170 bases in length. The t44 gene is found between the map and rpsB genes in all species in the full alignment apart from Shigella flexneri. The record is from Rfam by way of RNAcentral. Lineage: Bacteria; Pseudomonadati; Pseudomonadota; Gammaproteobacteria; Pseudothioglobaceae (SeqCode).